Molecule: long non-coding RNA, 837 nt
Organism: Musa acuminata subsp. malaccensis (wild Malaysian banana)
Lineage: Eukaryota; Viridiplantae; Streptophyta; Magnoliopsida; Zingiberales; Musaceae
Source: RefSeq, a predicted model, not a curated record
CCGCAUUCGCGCCACCACUUCGCCGGAACGCGAGUGCGUUUCGCCUCGUGCUACCGCCCGUCGCUGCUCGCCGUCGACGUGGUCUGGCUUUGUCCCUCUUUGAGUUUGCGAAGGGUGUCAAGAUUACAGGAAGAGCAAAGGUAUCUGUUUGACAUUGCUACUCUUCUUCCUUGGAUGUACUCCGGAUCCGGGUUUAGAGGAGGGGCUUCUGGUUGAAGGGCUUCCUUUUGUUUGGUUUAUAAUGUUACCAAAUUCUUGGAGGAACAAUGUGGAGGAGGCGAUGAUUUAUUGACGGUGACCAGUACAUCCUUCUCUAUUAAGAACAGUAGAAAAACCAUUUUCAUCUUCUUGGAUUUGAGGAAAGGAUUCAACUGAUAAUUUUGAAGAGGUUGGGUUGGAUAGAGCACUUAUUGCAAGGGCAACGAUCAAUGAGCACUGUCAAUGAGAUGCAGCAACAAUCCUUUCCAAGAUCAAGACACUCGAAUUCAUCAUAACUUCAGUUUUUGUUUCCACUCGCAAUCUUGGGAUGAGCUACUGCCAUCAGAGUUAUACACUCAAUCAGCUUAAAAUCUUUUGAUGCGCUUGCAAUGUUAAGCUGGUGGUAGUUGUAUACGUCAAAAGUCAUUUCCUUGUUCCUCAUUCAUAAAACCUUUUGACAACAAAACCUUUCGCCAUUAAGCUUUGCUGUAGUGAACUGUACCUGAGAAACCUAAAAGUUGCUCGAGGUUCUCCCUCGCCAUUUCCUUCACUCGUGCACUUUCUAAUCUUCAUUGUACAUGUAUAGAACUCAAACAUGAUGUGGCCUAUGGACCUGAUGAUGAUGUUGCUCUUUUCCCA